Balaenoptera musculus (blue whale) is the source of this 3091-nucleotide long non-coding RNA. RefSeq lists it as uncharacterized. Lineage: Eukaryota; Metazoa; Chordata; Mammalia; Artiodactyla; Balaenopteridae. The record is from RefSeq and is a predicted model, not a curated record. The transcript has 4 exons.
UGCUGCGUUAACAACUUUGCGGCUAUGUACAGCUGUCAGCCCUGCUCUCAUAAUGAUCAGUCCUCAGUUUUACCCACGCUGCCUUCUCUUCUCUUCUGCCCAGCCAGGGGCGGAUUCCUAGCUGGCUUCCCAAACUUCUGUCCUCACUUGGUGUGCCUGGCUUCCUCCCUUGUGUCAACAAGUUCCAGCAUGUGGAACACGAGUAAGAGCAAGCUUUCAAUAAAUAUCCUUGACAAGGAAGAGCCACUGAAGUUUUUUUAAAGAAAUACGUGACAAGACUGAACAUGCCUGCUCAAACAGAGGGCUUCCCAGAGGCAACUACGGCAUUGGAAAAACCUGAAGGCAAAAGUGCAAAACAUCCAGUACUUGAAAAAAGAUGUCAGCAUGAGCUAUUCAUCUUUUCCUCACCUCAUAUCAACAAGGAAAGCAUUUAACUGAUGAGGCUGGUUGCCCCAGUUUACUAUGUGUUUUAAAGACAGACCAUGGAAUCCCCACAAUGGAAUCCGUGCCAGAAAGACAACUCCACCCCCACCCCCACCGCCUCAUCCCUGGAGUGAGAAAACCCAGACAUUUAUCUGGACCUGCCACUGCCCUUGCCUGAGAAAGCACCAACCGCCGAGACAAGAGAGGAAAUGCUGCAGACAAUAGCAGAAGCUGCACAGUCCACACACGCUCAGCUUUUCACCACACCCAUUGGUGGAAUUUGUUACCAGUAAACAUGCAUUGCUCUAAGCACCAUUAUUUAUUACAGAUGAAAGAGAAAAAUCACCUGCUUUUAAAGUCAGCUCAGCUCCAAAUAUGAUACAUACGAAAAUUGGAUAGUUUUGCUUCUCUGAACUAGAAACUAGAAAGGGUAGCACUUUUCUACCUAUAGAUGGCUUUUUUCCAAGUACCUUGACCACAAUUUCUGUCUUGAAACUCCAAGAUGGACAAUAAUUUCAAAUCAUACUAUAAAGUAAUGAGGGGAGGGAACAUGAUGGAAAACCAUGAAACACUGUUUGGAAAUCUUAAAAUCUCUAGAAAUUACAUGUUGUUACAAAUGAAAUUUUAGUGUUUGUGAUUAACCUCACUAAGCAACAAGAAAUGUUUAACAUCUAACCUAGGUAAAAUAAUAUUGCAAAGAAUAAUGAAGAGUAAGGAAAAAGAACAACGUACCAGCCAUACUCCACAUCCUGAAGAGGUGUGCCCUGUCUUACCCUAGCCUGUCUCCCUGUUGGUGAAGUUGCUAUAACUCUCAGAACUUCCAGAAAUCUCUCAGGAUCCUCUUCCUCCCUUCCAUGGUAUCUCUCAACUCAGUCCGGUAGCCGUAUAUCUGUCUCUCUCUAGCUCCUGUCUAAUGAUGAGCAGACCGUUCAGUCUUCCCAGCUCUCAAACAUAGUUCACCUCUGGAGUCUGUGGGGCUCCCCUGGUUUCAUGCUUUGCAGCUGAUGGACCAAACUAAUGCUCCUCCCUAUCACUCUGGAACCUGAUCCAUUGCCUUAUGCCUUCAGUUAUUUGGAAGAGAGAGUCAAAACUUGACCUUCCUACUUAUUCCUUACUUAACCUCUCUGAGCUUCAGUUUUCUCAUCUAUAAAAUGGGAUAGACCUUGCCAUCCAAAUGGUUAUUAGGUUUAGAAAUGCUUUAUAUAAAACACUUAGAGCCAGGUUUAAAACAUACUAGGUACUCCAUAAGUAAUGAUAGUGAUAACAAAAAAUAAUAAUAAUUAUACUACAUUGGAAGUAAACAAUGACAUAUUAUGAAACAAAUACUAACUCUUCAAACAAAAAGUUGUUCCCAUAUUGCAAAAUAUGUACUGAGCCAAUAAAAUUUAUAGGAGUCAGAAAAUUUUUAAAUUUUAUAUCUGAUUUUACAAAUAUCCCAUGAGGUAAUAUGUUCAGCAUUUUCCAAAUGAGGAAACUGAGGCAUGAAAGGAUUAAAUAAUUCGCCCAAGGCUAACCAGUUGUAAUGUCUUAACCCUUUUUUUGAACCCAGUUCUCUCUGAGUCCAUGCUCUUAUUUCACCCUUCUAUUCCCCUUAGACUGAGAAAGUUGCCUUUGUUUCAGUACUGGAGAAGUAGGCAAAAGACUUCUGCUGUUGAAAGCCAUCCCAAUUUAGUUUGAAGUGCCCUAGAGAGAGUUUUCGUAGUUCAGCAUCUCAUUCAGUGAAUCCACAAUCUUUCCCCUCCAGAACCCACCCUUGUUAAAACCAUGACAGGGUCAAAAUUGGUCUUUUGGCUCCUCCAGCCUCCCUUCCUCACUGUAUUUCUCUUCUCCCUUUCUCUACCCAAGAUCCUCAGUGGACCUAUGCAGAACACUAAACGCCUUCAAAGUUUCCCCCCAAAACACAAAAGUGUCCCCCAAUUCUUCCUUUCCUCUAAAAUGAUCUCCCAUCUUCCCUCAUUAAAGCUCUCAUAAACUCAGCAUCUCUGUACGUUACCAGCUGGGAGAGAGGGAGGCAAUUUAAUGAAACCAAUUCAUCCUUAAGAUUUGCUAUGUGACAAUGUCCGAGGCAUACUUACUUUACUUUUAAAGAAAACAUUUAGCCCCAAAAGGCUAAUAAUUGGUCAAGUGUCCAAAAAUAAAAAAUUUUUUGUUUGUUUAGUUUUUAAGUAAAAGAGAUCAGACAGUGUGAAAGAUUUAACACAAAAUAUCAUUCUUCUAGGCUCAAUACUUCACCUUCAAAUAAAAAGCUCUGACACUUCUUCACAUUCUGGUUUGAUCACUGUUUUCACUACUUCCCAGAACUCACACCUUCCUCCCCACCAAAGUAGAACCAAAGAACAAGAAUCAAAAGUUUAGUUCACCACUUUUGAAAGAAGAUCAAAUCUUGUUCUCAACCACACCUUAGUCAAUACAUUCCUUUGCUGUAUAUUUUAUCUUUUAAAUGUGUUUUUAUUAUUUUGAAAAGAAUACAUGCAUGUGAUAAAAAAAAUUAAACAUACAAGAGAGUAUACAGUAAAAAGUUAUUUUCUCACCCAUAAUAGACCUCUUAUCUUAUUCCCCCAAUGUAACUGCCAUCACAUUUUCUUAUGUACCCUUCCAGAUAUUUAUCAUGAAAUGUACAUACAUGUAUAUAGUUUUUCCUAAAUUGAGAAACAUAAACAGCUUUUUA